UUAUGGAUGUUCCCGCUUUCUUCCUUAUCAGAAGCAGAGAAGGUUCUAGGAGAAAUAUCUAAUCAUAAAGUUCAGAUAUAUACUAAUUCUGCUCUGCUGCUCUUGAAUAUCUCAGAACUGUCAUUGAGAAGAAAAAAGUGGGUUGCAUCCGGAUUGAUGGAGGUACACCCGCUGCAUCAAGGCAACAAUUGGUUACAGAUUUCCAGGAAAAGGAUUAUAUCAAGGCAGCUGCACUAUGGUGGUAUUUUUGCUAUCCAUUAUAAAGCGGGAGGAGUUGAAUUAACUUUAACUGCUGCAAGCUCAGUUAUCUUUACAGAACAAUCCUGGACUCCAGGUGACCUAAUUCAGGCCAAAGAUCGUGCUCAUAGAAUUGGUCAGGUCUCAUCAGUAAAUAUAUACUAGUUGGCAAGCAGUCCUUCGCUGCUUGGUAUAGCAUUGACUUAACAUUUAUUAUGUAUUGAUGAUUAAAUUUUUACGCCUUAGGGAUGGUGCAAUUCAAACUGGAUAAUUUGGGGCAGAUGAGAUGCCCAUGAGAACACCUUAGCUGUGUCAAAUAAUCAGCCAUUGAGUAUCCCUGCAAAGCAUACUACUAUUGGGCAUAGGCCUUCAAAGCAGAGAACUCUUGACCAGUUUGUCAGAAGAUGUGAUAACGUGGAUAGGUCGGAAGUCGGAACAUCAUCCUGACCGGAAACGGCCCUCUCGGUCAUGACUUGUGAGAUAUGCAAAAUGGAUUUCCAUUUUCACAGAUACAUGGCCAGUGGCAAGUGAAUAGGAACUUAAAUGUUGACUACAUGCAGAAGUUUCCCUGUAGUAUUAACCAGAUGUGCUUACAUGGGGAAUUCACCUGUGAUGACACAAAUGCCGUUUUGAAGCUGAAAUCCAUUGUACAACAAAUAAUAGAUUGAGUAGAACUGGCUACACUAAACUAUGUUACUUGUACUGGAGAUAAUGGUUUGAAUAUGUGAAAUAUGUAUUGGAAGAAAAUGUUGAUAAAGUCACCCAUUAGAUUUUAGGUUUCCACUUCUUGUUCUUAACUUUUUGCUCCCCUAUGUUUUGUUUUAGUUUGGGGCUCUGUACAGAGUAUGACAUUAUCAUAUAUGAAUGAGAGUUGUAAAUUUCUUUACUCCA
Molecule: non-coding RNA, 1128 nt
Organism: Arachis ipaensis
Lineage: Eukaryota; Viridiplantae; Streptophyta; Magnoliopsida; Fabales; Fabaceae
Source: RefSeq, a predicted model, not a curated record